Patiria miniata (bat star) is the source of this 482-nucleotide long non-coding RNA. RefSeq lists it as uncharacterized. The record is from RefSeq and is a predicted model, not a curated record. Lineage: Eukaryota; Metazoa; Echinodermata; Asteroidea; Valvatida; Asterinidae. The transcript is spliced from 3 exons.
UAUUCGGAUUAUUAUUUUAUUUUCCUAGUAUAGGAAUAACGAGCGUGCCAUAUUCAAUCGCCAAGUUUGAUAAAUGGGCAGUUGUCAAUUAUUUUCUUUGAAGUAGAAAUGUUUCCGUUGAUAAAAUUAUUUCAACUCAUUGAUCUUUCUUAGUAGAACCAAAUGUGUACAUAUAUUUUUUUUUGUCCAUCUGUUUUAAUUCCAUUCCUAUCAUAAUAUAUGUUUUAGAACCAGAGCCAGUCCCAGGAAACCAACCACUGCCAGUGAAGACACAUUCAUCAACGUCUUCAAAUUUAAGUCUGCAUCCUUCUGUUAAGCCAGCACCUACACUUAAUAAAAAAAAGGAGAGGCAAAGCUUCACACUUGAUUCAUUUUUCCAAAUACCAGUUUCAAAAAGAUCUGGCCAUCCAGCAUCCAAAUCAGCAGGCAGCCCAGUCUCCAAUCCACAUCAGCAGGCACACCUGGCAGCCCAGUCUCCAAAU